UAACUAGUUUAAUAAUAAAGUUUAAUCAUACACUCAACUAAAAAAUAAACAACAUGGCAUCUAUAUGUUAUACAUCGAACCUUACCAAACAUCUCAUCUCUCAUGAGCCAUGGCCGGAGAUUAUGAUCCUGAAGCAACUCCCUCGUCACCGGAAUAUAAGCCCUUAGCUUCAUCCAGCCGCGAUCUAGACGGCGCCGUUCUGAUAUCACAUCCUUCCUCGAUCAGCCGACGUCGUUUCAUCAUCUCUUUAUUUCUCAUUUCUUUUGCCUCGAUCCUCAUCUACAUCUUCUGGCCGUCAGAUCCACGCAUCAAAAUCGAACGGGUCAAAGUUUCCCACGUGCACGUCCACCGUCGACCGGUGCCGUCUAUAGACAUGACGAUGCUCGUUACGCUCAAAGUAUCCAAUGCUGACGUGUACUCUUUUGACUUCACGGCGCUUGACGUUGCGAUUGGUUACAGAGGGAAGACGUUAGGUCACGUGAGUUCGGAUGGCGGGCACGUGAAGGCUAUGGGUUCGUCUUAUCUUGAAGCGGAGACCCAGCUUGACGGCGUCACGGUGUUUGCUGACGUCAUUAACCUGAUACAUGAUUUGGCCAAGGGCUCCAUCGAGUUUGACACCGUUACCGAGACUAACGGGAAACUUGGCGUUUUGUUCUUCCGUUUCCCUUUAAAGGCGAAAGUGGCAUGUGGGAUUCUAAUAAAUACAGUUAAUCAGACAAUUUCUCGUCAGAGCUGUAGACCUAUCUGAUUCAAGAGACAUCAUCUGAUAUUUUGUUUCAGUUAAGGAGUAAAUCCCAUAGACGAGACAACGUUAUCUUCUUUGUGCGCCUCCUCUUGAAUUUUGGGGUUCUUCAUUUUCUUUGAUAUCUGACUUCAACAAUGGAGUUCUGAAAGAUUGAAAUGCUCAAAUCGACGCGAAGAAUAUCUCUGUAGUGUAUCAAUCACGUUGUUUAAUCUUACAUCUCAAUCGAAACGUUUUCGAGUUACAGAUUUAUCGUUUUUAACGCCUUAUUAGGCUUCCUCAUCUAUGGAUUCUACGUGAGCCGAAUCCAUCUUCAUUCAGAACCAUCGGCGUUAAUGGAGUUACUUUAGGUUGUUUGAAAAGAAUCUGCCUUAGGAAUCUCUUGGUCGAUCUUCAUUCGAGUCUGUUCGUUCUUCUCCUCCAAAACGUUCCAUUCAUGGCCAUUAAGAACCAUAAUUAAUUCUUCGACCCACACAAUGCUUCUUUUUUCUCUUUCAGUCGGUGUUUAUCCAACUAUAAAAGGUCAGUCCUCAUCUCAUGAAAAUCAUCCUCUCAAUUCCUAAAAACAGUCAGAUACGUAUUUUUCUGUUCAGUGGCUAACUCAUGGCUGGCUUGAAAGCUGGUCACUGCUCUUCCACCGUACAGGUGAGGCUACUCAGAUUUUGGGAAGCUUGGAACAUCAACGGUGGCUGAGGAGAGCUGAUGGAGAUAGAUAGACAUGCUACUCAUCGAUGCUAAGAUAAACAACAACCGCUACGAAAAUUGCAAAACCAACAAUCAAAGAACUCAAGUUUUGCAUGACUUUGUUAGGUUCUUUUGUGAGGAACUCAAUCAAAGAACCACUAAUUAGGUUCCUUUGUUGGGAAAGACUACAAUAUCUGCAGUGAUCUGUUGUCUCGGCUUAAGGUUUUUCUGACGAAAUUCAUAAAGUCUGUCUCCAUUGUUUGAGAAUACACCAAAUGCUGCUCAGGAGCUCACUCUUGCAGGUUCCACAAAAUUGUUCCUCUUAACGCAGUAAUGUAUUUGGAGCUGAAGACAAUGGCCCUGCUGAAAAAGUGACACUCCCUCAUAAUGAAAACUCUUAACAGCCUCCCUGAGACAAGCAGUGCCAUCCCCAAUGUAGAGAUUGAUGCUAAUUUUCUCUGGAUCUUCGAGUCAGAAGAACGCGAGUUUCUUCAACAUACGGUCUUUCCAGCCCAUGAGCAUAUGGAGAAUGGUUGACCACGACCCUUUAGUUCUGCACCCAUGGUUUGACCAUCGUUUGAGCGUCCAUGGUCACGUGUUCUUCAGUCAUAGACCAAGUGACUUCUACCCGAGCUUCAGGUUUUGCUAGGAACCUUCUGGAAAAGGUGUUACAGUGUUAUUAUGGGGUUUAUUUGUCUGAAAGCGACGAAGACAAUGAAGCUAUGAUAUUGAGAGUUCUAAGCUGCAAAACAGUUCUUAUCAAAGCUUAAGAAGGCUUCGGUAUUGAGUUCUUAUCAAAGCUUAAGAAAGCUUGAGAAGGCUUCGGUAUUGAGUUCCAUUUUGAUGAGUAAACAAGUCUAACGAUAUCAGAUACAGAGGACAAAGUCGAGGAGAACACAUUUGAUUCUGCAGCUUUGUUUGCACUUUUGAUGGCAGCCCUUGCUGGUGGAAUGAGAAAUUAUACAAUUAAUCCUCAAGUAAAUUAUUAUGGUACAAACAGAAAGAUGUCUUGACAUGUUACCAAUAUUAGAAACGAACCAGUCAUAGAAUUGAAAAAAAUAAUUAUAAUAUUGGAAUGACAACAAAUCGACAUGAUUAUGUUAGAGCUGUAAAACAGCAAAUGUAAAAUUGUAC
This is an RNA transcript of Brassica oleracea var. oleracea, 2560 nucleotides long. RefSeq lists it as uncharacterized. The record is from RefSeq and is a predicted model, not a curated record. The transcript has 6 exons. NCBI's taxonomy places the organism in Eukaryota, Viridiplantae, Streptophyta, Magnoliopsida, Brassicales, Brassicaceae.